This 381-nucleotide ribosomal RNA is filed under the name uncultured bacterium. Its description in RNAcentral is "bacterial SSU rRNA". It matches the Rfam family "Bacterial small subunit ribosomal RNA", at positions 29 to 410 of the family's 1533-position model. The record is from RNAcentral.
AUUGAACGCUGGCGGAAUGCUUUACACAUGCAAGUCGAGCGGCAGCGCGGGGGCAACCCUGGCGGCGAGCGGCGAACGGGUGAGUAACAUAUCGGAACGUACCCCGUCGUGGGGGAUAACACAGCGAAAGCUGUGCUAAUACCGCAUACGACCUGAGGGUGAAAGCGGGGGAUCGCAAGACCUCGCGCGAUGGGAGCGGCCGAUAUCGGAUUAGCUUGUUGGUGAGGUAAAAGGCUCACCAAGGCGACGAUCCGUAGCUGGUCUGAGAGGACGACCAGCCACACUGGAACUGAGACACGGUCCAGACUCCUACGGGAGGCAGCAGUGGGGAAUUUUGGACAAUGGGGGCAACCCUGAUCCAGCCAUUCCGCGUGAGUGAAG